UUCCAGACUCCUACGGGAGGCAGCAGUCGGGAAUAUUGCGCAAUGGAGGAAACUCUGACGCAGUGACGCCGCGUAUAGGAAGAAGGUUUUCGGAUUGUAAACUAUUGUCGUUAGGGAAGAUACAAGACAGUACCUAAGGAGGAAGCCCCGGCUAACUAUGUGCCAGCAGCCGCGGUAAUACGUAGGGGGCAAGCGUUAUCCGGAUUUACUGGGUGUAAAGGGAGCGUAGACGGUUAUGUAAGUCUGGAGUGAAAGCCCGGGGCCCAACCCCGGGACUGCUUUGGAAACUGUGUAACUGGAGUACAGGAGGGGCAGGCGGAAUUCCUGGUGUAGCGGUGAAAUGCGUAGAUAUCAGGAGGAACACCGGCGGCGAAGGCGGCCUGCUGGACUGAAACUGACGUUGAGGCUCGAAAGCGUGGGGAGCAAACAGGAUUAGAUACCCGCGUACG
RNAcentral lists this ribosomal RNA (449 nucleotides) under uncultured bacterium. RNAcentral describes it as "bacterial SSU rRNA". It matches the Rfam family "Bacterial small subunit ribosomal RNA", at positions 329 to 793 of the family's 1533-position model. The record is from RNAcentral.